CCUUGCAACGAUUUUGAAGCUCCAAGCUCGCGCAAGCACCAUGGAACGAAACUUACGAAUGAGGAACCGGAUACCAUGAGUCGGGAACCGAAUACACCACUCCUCGAACCAAUGCACGACCUGGGAAUCAAAUAAACAUGGCUGGAACCAAAUACACGUUGCGCCGGAACCGAAUACUCUAAAGCAUUGUAGAAGGAGAACCGGAUACGCAUGAAUAUAGUGAUGCAAAAGGAAGGGGAACCGAAUAUGCAUUCCUAUAACCGAAUACACCAGCCUUUUAUUUUCCUUGUUGAAGGGGAACCGAAUACUCAUCUUCUGUAACCGAAUACACCAUGGUGUGCUUCAUUCUUCC
This 352-nucleotide long non-coding RNA is filed under the name Vigna radiata. RNAcentral's name for it is "long non-coding RNA (VRAD_LNC011094)". Lineage: Eukaryota; Viridiplantae; Streptophyta; Magnoliopsida; Fabales; Fabaceae. The record is from RNAcentral.